Molecule: long non-coding RNA, 868 nt
Organism: Perca fluviatilis (European perch)
Lineage: Eukaryota; Metazoa; Chordata; Actinopteri; Perciformes; Percidae
Exons: 2
Source: RefSeq, a predicted model, not a curated record
GGGCUGAUCUCGGGACAUAGCGCCGACAGAUUCAAACUCUGAUAAAUGGCUCGCAGCGCCACGCCUGCACAAAUGGAAGCUUCUGAAAUAAGUCCAGAGUGCCAGCAUGUUCCUCCUCCCCUUUGUCUGUGCUGUAAAGAAUGUUCCCUCAUCACUGCUGCUGUGUAAAUGUCCCCUGCUUUGCUGAUGGAUCUUCGCAGGGUGGAUUCAACAGCAGGAUCUGAUUGAAUUCCCCACCAUUAGAUUAAUCUCAAGCAGACACAUGGAGCUGCCUGCACAUAAUAAAAACAAAAAUAAAUAUAAUACAAAAAACAUAAAAACGCAUACAUCCAAAUGCAUAUGAACAUAAUCACAUACACACCAAUACACACAAAAUACCGAUGCACACAUACACAGUAAUUGUGCAUAAACACAGCCAUAUACAUCCAAACUGGGUAUUUUGUUUUACUCCCAGGCUACACUGUACUGGGCACUGUGACAACAGAAGCUCUAACCUAUGUAUCUAUUGUGUAUGUAAUGUAUAUGUAGGCUAUAGUGUAUUUAUUUCAUUUUAUUUAUUGUAAACAGAUUGAUUUACCAUCAUGUAGAAUUAGAUACCCCUUGUCAUGUUUGUUAAAGUCUGUUUCCUGUAUUAUUUAGUCUCGUUUUCCUCCCUAGUCUUGUCUUGUUGCGCUUCCUGUCUUGUUUUUUCCUCCUAUUUGAUUGUUCUGCCCCGCCCUGAUUUGUAUCACCUGCUCCUCGUUAGUGUUCAUUACCCUAUGUAUUUAGUCUCUCUGUUUCCGUUUCCGUCUGUUGCUGGAUUCUUACUUUCUGUUUGUGUGCUACCUGUUGUGGUUUUCCUGGCUGGAAUAAAUGUGUUUUAACUGCA